GCUUACGGCCACACCACCCUGAACACGCCCGAUCUCGUCCGAUCUCGGAAGCUAAGCAGGGCCGGGGCCUGGUUAGUACUGGAUGGCGAGGACCGCCUGGGAAUACCAGGUGCUGUAAGUU
RNAcentral lists this ribosomal RNA (121 nucleotides) under Oryzias javanicus (javanese ricefish). Lineage: Eukaryota; Metazoa; Chordata; Actinopteri; Beloniformes; Adrianichthyidae. The record is from RNAcentral.